UCAAGAGCUAUCCAUGGAUUGAGGGUCCAGAGAGAAACAUGCAAUACAAAAGUUUGGGCUUCUUCUUACUGCUUACUCUAGCUCGCUUGGUGCAGGUCGGGAACCCUUCGCACUUUAAUACCCUCACUAGCAGAGGGUUCCCGCCUUGCAUCAACUGAAUUGGAGACUACAGUAAAGAUUCGAUGUUUUACUAUGAUUGCACUGGAUUUUUAUCUUGCGGACAGGUCUGA
Molecule: microRNA precursor, 230 nt
Filed under: Amborella trichopoda
Lineage: Eukaryota; Viridiplantae; Streptophyta; Magnoliopsida; Amborellales; Amborellaceae
Description: miR168 stem-loop (atr-MIR168)
Gene: atr-MIR168
Rfam family: MIR168 microRNA precursor family (bases 65-177)
Source: miRBase by way of RNAcentral